UUUUUAACAUGGCUAUAGAGUAUUUAAGUCAAAACCCGAAUGGAGGUGAACUAUUCCUGCAAAGAUUGAAGUCAGGGGAAACUCUGAUGGAAGAUCGUUGGCGUUAUUGAUGUGCAAAUCAUUUGCUUUAUGUAGGUAUAGGUGCGAAAGACUCAUCGAACCUCCUAAUAGCUGGUUUCCUCCGAAGUUUCCCUCAGGAUAGCUGUAACAUUUUUAAAUAGUUAAGGAUAGUAGAGAAAUGGGUAGAGGUGUAGUGGAACUACGGUUCUGCAACUUAUUUCCAAACUUCGAACGUUCUUGAUAUAAAAAAUUACCUAAUAGGAAUUUUUUAUUUAAAUAUAUGUUAUAAGUGGGCUCUGACCGGUAAGCGGUCAUGGCGAAAAGGGAUGAACCUAACGUAUAAAUAAGGUGCCUAAAUUUACUAACAAUGAAACCAUUAAAAGAGUCCAUGUAUUUAGACAGCGGGUCGGUGCCCCUAAAAGCAGGUAUCCGUUAAUGAGUGUGUUAAAACUCCCCCGCCGAAUACUCUGGCCUUGAAAAUGAAUGGCGCAUAUAGUAAUACCGAUAUUAUACAUUAAAAUUAUUUCAAAAUUUUAAAAGUAGGGGGAUGUGGAUAUCUUAGAGAAUUUUUAAUUGUAAAAUUGAAUUGAAAGAUAUCUAUUACAGAUCCUAAUUGAAGUAGCGAUUAUCCAGGUUAAUCUCCUGGGGGCUGAUGAGGAGUAGGGUUUCUGGGCAACUUAAACGGACCCAGAGUUAGUCGAUCCUAAUCAAAUUAAAUUUAGAGAAAGGGAAUAUGAAUGAUAUUUCAUAACUAAAAUUAAUUUUUAAAUGGUGACAUUUUUUUAAACUUAUUUCCAUCAAUUAAAUACUGUUUAAUAGGGAUUUCUUUCCUAUAUAACUUUUUAAUUAAAACUUAAGAAACAGGUUAACUGGAGAAUAAAGUUUUAAUUUAGUAAAAUUAUAAUUUCGAUUAUAAUAACGGCUAUUUAAAUGAUCCAUGAAACGAUAAGUUUAUUUUUUCAAAAAUUAAUUUAAUCGUACCGAUAACCGCAUCAGGUCUCCAAGGUGAGUAGCUUCUGGCCAUUGAGUAAUGGUAAUUUAGGGAAUUCGGCCAAUUAGAGCUGUAACUUCGGGAUAAAGCUUGGCUCUGAUGGAAAUCAGAACCGAUAGUUACAAGGAGAGCCCAACUGUUUAAUAAAAACUUAGUGUCGCGUCAUACCUUUAUAAGUAAUAAACGUGACAUGAAUCCUGCUCAGUGCUGUGUUUGUUAAACUGGAUUAAUCCAUUUAAGCGCCGGUAAAUAGCUGGGGUAACUAUGACUCUUAUCAAAGUAGCGAAAUACCUCGUCACUUAAUUAGUGACCUGCAUGAACGGAGCUAUGAGGUUCUCACUGUCCCAAAUUAUCACUCAGCGAACCAACAGUUGUGGGAACGGGCACAAAUUAUCCAGCGGGGAAAGAAGACCCUGUAGAGCUUCACUUUGGUCUAAUCUUGUAUAGUUUCGUUAGGGGUGCAGUCUAGGUGGGAGAUUUUUAAUCAAAUAUGAGAAACCACUACCCUUUCUGGAAUUAUACUUACUAAAAUUCUUUUCUAAAUUUUAGGAUCGGAUUAGAUAGAAAGUUUGGCUGGGGCGGCACACCUUCGAAAAAGCAGCGAAGGUGUCCUAAGUUAAGCUCAGUAAGGACAGAAAUCUUACGUUGAGGAUAAGGCCAAAAGCUUAAUUUACUGUGCCUUUUUGUACUAGGAUCAGUUUGGAAACAAAGGCCUAACGAUCCCUAAUUAGUCUUAGGUGUGUAAGACUUGGGGUGACAGACAAGUUACCUCCGGGACAACUGGCUUGUGGCUGCUAAGAGAUCAAAUCAACGCAGCUUUUUGAUUCUUCGAUGUCGGCUCUUCCUAUCCUAGUGAUGUACAAGUCACUAAGGGUUGGAUUGUUCACCCGUAUUAGGGAUCGUGAGCUGGGUUUAGACCGUCGUGAGCCAGGUUUGUUUUAUCCUACUGGAUAUAAUUUAGCAUCUUGAUAGUAGUUUGAUUUAGUACGAGAGGAACUGUUGAAUAUGGUCUCUGGUUUGGGAAUUUUAUGAAAAUAAAAGUUCCAAAGCUACGCCGUCUGAGAUAAUGGCUGAAGGCCUCUUAAGCCAGAAACUCAUCUAAAAAUAGAUGCUUUAAACUAUUUAAAAGAAUUAAAUUUAAAAUAUUUUUUUUAUUAAAAUUUGU
Molecule: ribosomal RNA, 2216 nt
Filed under: human gut metagenome
Description: eukaryotic LSU rRNA
Rfam family: Eukaryotic large subunit ribosomal RNA
Source: RNAcentral